AGCGAACGCUGGCGGCAUGCCUAACACAUGCAAGUCGAACGAGACCUUCGGGUCUAGUGGCGCACGGGUGCGUAACGCGUGGGAAUCUGCCCUUGGGUUCGGAAUAACAGUUGGAAACGACUGCUAAUACCGGAUGAUGACGUAAGUCCAAAGAUUUAUCGCCCAAGGAUGAGCCCGCGUAGGAUUAGCUAGUUGGUGAGGUAAAGGCUCACCAAGGCGACGAUCCUUAGCUGGUCUGAGAGGAUGAUCAGCCACACUGGGACUGAGACACGGCCCAGACUCCUACGGGAGGCAGCAGUGGGGAAUAUUGGACAAUGGGCGAAAGCCUGAUCCAGCAAUGCCGCGUGAGUGAUGAAGGCCUUAGGGUUGUAAAGCUCUUUUACCCGGGAUGAUAAUGACAGUACCGGGAGAAUAAGCUCCGGCUAACUCCGUG
Molecule: ribosomal RNA, 433 nt
Filed under: uncultured bacterium
Lineage: Bacteria
Description: partial 16S ribosomal RNA
Rfam family: Bacterial small subunit ribosomal RNA
Source: RNAcentral